CUGAUGUGUGCUAAGGGAAAGGGAGUCUGUGGGAACGGAAUCCAGAAUCCGGGCAACCCUGCACCACUUGUCAUCUGUAUUAUAUACUUGUCCAGCAAAAGCAAUAGGAUAAUAAAGAAGUGGAUCAGCCAUGAAACAGCCCCCUGUCAGCAGAGCAGCCGUUGAUAUCUGAAUGAGCAACAGUGCACUAAAAUCUGCAGUACAAGAGUUGGACUGACCUGCCAGGCUGCACAUCUCCCAGUGGCACCACUGAAGGGCAAUGCCUUUUAGCUGCAUAGACAUGGAAAUCAGAUAUCUUUAACAUGUUUUAUAUCUAACUGUUCCUGUAAUGGGCCUAGGGUGCCAGACACUCUAGUGGGUGCGUGGGGACCCAGUCGGACACUGAAGGGAAGGCUGUGGCUUACCUGCCUGACAAUAAAGGAGGCUUAUACAACCUGCACUGCAUGGUGAUCUAGUACCAACUACAAGGCAAAUCAAAACAAAAAGAAAAUGAACUUUCUGCUUAAAAUAUACAGUAGAGAAAAAAACUUUAAGACAUAGCGCUCCACAUUAUUUAAAGUCACCAUAUUCAGAAAACCCCAGACAUUCCAUACUGAUCUGAUAUUUGUAGCCAGGGGUGUAACCUGGCCCCCCCAAAAAAAAAAUUUCUGGACCCCCUGUACACAUAAUGAAAAGCGACCCAUAACAGGAGCAAAAUUGUGUGAGUCACCUGCAUCCCCCCCACUGCACAUAAUUGCAGGUGACUACCAAGGGAGCAGAUCCCAGCCGGCUCCAACACCAACGUCUCCAUCCCACCGUGGCUAUGAAAUUUUGAUAGCAGCCAUUAAACAUGGUACCAGGGCAGUGCCAUAAGAUUCAA
This is a long non-coding RNA of Xenopus tropicalis (tropical clawed frog), 859 nucleotides long. RefSeq lists it as uncharacterized. The record is from RefSeq and is a predicted model, not a curated record. The transcript has 2 exons. Lineage: Eukaryota; Metazoa; Chordata; Amphibia; Anura; Pipidae.